AGAGUUUGAUCMUGGCUCAGAUUGAACGCUGGCGGCAGGCCUAACACAUGCAAGUCGAGCGGUAGAGAGAAGCUUGCUUCUCUUGAGAGCGGCGGACGGGUGAGUAAUGCCUAGGAAUCUGCCUGGUAGUGGGGGAUAACGUUCGGAAACGGACGCUAAUACCGCAUACGUCCUACGGGAGAAAGCAGGGGACCUUCGGGCCUUGCGCUAUCAGAUGAGCCUAGGUCGGAUUAGCUAGUUGGUGGGGUAAUGGCUCACCAAGGCGACGAUCCGUAACUGGUCUGAGAGGAUGAUCAGUCACACUGGAACUGAGACACGGUCCAGACUCCUACGGGAGGCAGCAGUGGGGAAUAUUGGACAAUGGGCGAAAGCCUGAUCCAGCCAUGCCGCGUGUGUGAAGAAGGUCUUCGGAUUGUAAAGCACUUUAAGUUGGGAGGAAGGGCAGUUACCUAAUACGUAAUUGUUUUGACGUUACCGACAGAAUAAGCACCGGCUAACUCUGUGCCAGCCGCCGCGGUAAUWCAG
RNAcentral lists this ribosomal RNA (525 nucleotides) under Pseudomonas sp. enrichment culture clone R_1017-3_OTU2. Its description in RNAcentral is "bacterial SSU rRNA". It matches the Rfam family "Bacterial small subunit ribosomal RNA", at positions 8 to 528 of the family's 1533-position model. Lineage: Bacteria; Pseudomonadati; Pseudomonadota; Gammaproteobacteria; Pseudomonadales; Pseudomonadaceae. The record is from RNAcentral.